AACGAGUGGAAAACAGAAGGAAAAGCAUGCUGGGAUAUGACUGUGUGGAGCUAAAAACAGAAAAAAAGAGGAAAAGAGCUGGCUAGGAGACCCUGAAGAUACCCUGGAUUCUGGAUUCUCUUCUUCACUGAGGAGAAGCGAACCACCUGCAUGGAUUCAGACAAAGCAUCACACCUGUACGAGAAACACCUGUGAACUUCACUUUUCCCGGCCUUGUCAUUGCUGGUUGGAAGGAGCAUCACUGGAUCUCUCUCAGCUUUGCCUGGAUUUCAUCAGAGAGAGCUGUAUUUCUUUUUAAAGAGUGCAGGUUGCACCACUGUCCCCUCCCUGUGCCAGAGCAGCUGAGAUACUGAUGGGGUUAUAAGGAGGAGGCCGAUAUCGUCUUAUCCACUUCCUCCGAGCCGAACAGGGCUUUUAUUGAUCUCUGCCGGAAAGACUACAGCAUCUCCGUAAAAGCCCUUCAGGAGCCGAGCCAAAGCAUGCAUAUGAAUAUCCUGAAGUGACUGGCUUACUGGGCCUUUUCCUCUCUUUUUGUACUGAUGCGGGAGUAAACCUCUCUCACAGAGGAGGAUUACUGCGCCCGGGAGGAGAACCCUGGUGCCAGCGAGGGACUGGAGGAACUGAACUUUAAUGUGAACUUUUACAGUAAA
Molecule: long non-coding RNA, 650 nt
Organism: Astyanax mexicanus (Mexican tetra)
Lineage: Eukaryota; Metazoa; Chordata; Actinopteri; Characiformes; Acestrorhamphidae
Exons: 3
Source: RefSeq, a predicted model, not a curated record